This 63-nucleotide small nucleolar RNA is filed under the name Euglena gracilis. RNAcentral describes it as "Eg-p41 AGAUGN box pseudouridylation-guide". Lineage: Eukaryota; Euglenozoa; Euglenophyceae; Euglenales; Euglenaceae. The record is from RNAcentral.
CAGGUGACGCACAUUCCCUGGGUAGCAUGAAACUUGCUUCCUUGGCGACUGUUCACCGAGAUU